Molecule: ribosomal RNA, 1531 nt
Filed under: Salmonella enterica subsp. enterica serovar Typhimurium
Lineage: Bacteria; Pseudomonadati; Pseudomonadota; Gammaproteobacteria; Enterobacterales; Enterobacteriaceae
Description: partial 23S ribosomal RNA
Rfam family: Bacterial large subunit ribosomal RNA
Source: RNAcentral
AGACCCGAAACCCGGUGAUCUAGCCAUGGGCAGGUUGAAGGUUGGGUAACACUAACUGGAGGACCGAACCGACUAAUGUUGAAAAAUUAGCGGAUGACCUGUGGCUGGGGGUGAAAGGCCAAUCAAACCGGGAGAUAGCUGGUUCUCCCCGAAAGCUAUUUAGGUAGCGCCUCGUGAAUUCAUCUCCGGGGGUAGAGCACUGUUUCGGCUAGGGGGCCAUCCCGGCUUACCAACCCGAUGCAAACUGCGAAUACCGGAGAAUGUUAUCACGGGAGACACACGGCGGGUGCUAACGUCCGUCGUGAAGAGGGAAACAACCCAGACCGCCAGCUAAGGUCCCAAAGUCAUGGUUAAGUGGGAAACGAUGUGGGAAGGCCCAGACAGCCAGGAUGUUGGCUUAGAAGCAGCCAUCAUUUAAAGAAAGCGUAAUAGCUCACUGGUCGAGUCGGCCUGCGCGGAAGAUGUAACGGGGCUAAACCAUGCACCGAAGCUGCGGCAGCGAACGUAUCACUUAAAGCGAUUCAGCGGGUUACGAUUGACGGAGCGAAGCGACGUCAAAGCGUAUACAAAGUCGAGUCGGUUUAAGGAUACGUUCGUUGGGUAGGGGAGCGUUCUGUAAGCCUGUGAAGGUGGCCUGUGAGGGUUGCUGGAGGUAUCAGAAGUGCGAAUGCUGACAUAAGUAACGAUAAAGCGGGUGAAAAGCCCGCUCGCCGGAAGACCAAGGGUUCCUGUCCAACGUUAAUCGGGGCAGGGUGAGUCGACCCCUAAGGCGAGGCCGAAAGGCGUAGUCGAUGGGAAACGGGUUAAUAUUCCCGUACUUGGUGUUACUGCGAAGGGGGGACGGAGAAGGCUAUGUUGGCCGGGCGACGGUUGUCCCGGUUUAAGCGUGUAGGUGUGUGUUCCAGGUAAAUCCGGUUCACUUUAACACUGAGGCGUGAUGACGAGGCACUACGGUGCUGAAGCAACAAAUGCCCUGCUUCCAGGAAAAGCCUCUAAGCAUCAGGUAACAUCAAAUCGUACCCCAAACCGACACAGGUGGUCAGGUAGAGAAUACCAAGGCGCUUGAGAGAACUCGGGUGAAGGAACUAGGCAAAAUGGUGCCGUAACUUCGGGAGAAGGCACGCUGACACGUAGGUGAAGUGAUUUACUCACGGAGCUGAAGUCAGUCGAAGAUACCAGCUGGCUGCAACUGUUUAUUAAAAACACAGCACUGUGCAAACACGAAAGUGGACGUAUACGGUGUGACGCCUGCCCGGUGCCGGAAGGUUAAUUGAUGGGGUCAGCGCAAGCGAAGCUCCUGAUCGAAGCCCCGGUAAACGGCGGCCGUAACUAUAACGGUCCUAAGGUAGCGAAAUUCCUUGUCGGGUAAGUUCCGACCUGCACGAAUGGCGUAAUGAUGGCCAGGCUGUCUCCACCCGAGACUCAGUGAAAUUGAACUCGCUGUGAAGAUGCAGUGUACCCGCGGCAAGACGGAAAGACCCCGUGAACCUUUACUAUAGCUUGACACUGAACAUUGAGCCUUGAUGUGUAG